AGUGUUUGAUCCUGUCUCAGGACGAACGCUGGCGGCGUGCCUAAUACAUGCAAGUCGAGCGAAUCAAUAGGAGCUUGCUCCUGUUGGUUAGCGGCGGACGGGUGAGUAACACGUGGGCAACCUGCCUGUAAGACUGGGAUAACACCGGGAAACCGGUGCUAAUACCGGAUAAUCCUUUUCCUCUCAUGAGGAAAAGCUGAAAGUCGGUUUCGGCUGACACUUACAGAUGGGCCCGCGGCGCAUUAGCUAGUUGGUGAGGUAACGGCUCACCAAGGCGACGAUGCGUAGCCGACCUGAGAGGGUGAUCGGCCACACUGGGACUGAGACACGGCCCAGACUCCUACGGGAGGCAGCAGUAGGGAAUCUUCCACAAUGGACGAAAGUCUGAUGGAGCAACGCCGCGUGAGCGAUGAAGGCCUUCGGGUCGUAAAGCUCUGUUGUUAGGGAAGAACAAGUACCGGAGUAACUGCCGGUACCUUGACGGUACCUAACCAGAAAGCCACGGCUAACUACGUGCCAGCAGCCGCGGUAAUACGUAGGUGGCAAGCGUUGUCCGGAAUUAUUGGGCGUAAAGCGCGCGCAGGCGGUCCUUUAAGUCUGAUGUGAAAGCCCACGGCUCAACCGUGGAGGGUCAUUGGAAACUGGGGGACUUGAGUGCAGAAGAGGAAAGCGGAAUUCCACGUGUAGCGGUGAAAUGCGUAGAGAUGUGGAGGAACACCAGUGGCGAAGGCGGCUUUCUGGUCUGUAACUGACGCUGAGGCGCGAAAGCGUGGGGGAGCAAACAGGAUUAGAUACCCUGGUAGUCCACGCCGUAAACGAUGAGUGCUAAUGUUAGGGGGUUUCCGCC
This 847-nucleotide ribosomal RNA is filed under the name uncultured bacterium. RNAcentral describes it as "bacterial SSU rRNA". It matches the Rfam family "Bacterial small subunit ribosomal RNA", at positions 8 to 838 of the family's 1533-position model. The record is from RNAcentral.